Molecule: ribosomal RNA, 497 nt
Filed under: uncultured bacterium
Lineage: Bacteria
Description: partial 16S ribosomal RNA
Rfam family: Bacterial small subunit ribosomal RNA
Source: RNAcentral
GAUGAACGCUGGCGGCGUGCCUAAUACAUGCAAGUCGAGCGAACAGAUGAGGAGCUUGCUCCUCUGACGUUAGCGGCGGACGGGUGAGUAACACGUGGAUAACCUACCUAUAAGACUGGGAUAACUUCGGGAAACCGGAGCUAAUACCGGAUAAUAUAUUGAACCGCAUGGUUCAAUAGUGAAAGACGGUUUUGCUGUCACUUAUAGAUGGAUCCGCGCCGCAUUAGCUAGUUGGUAAGGUAACGGCUUACCAAGGCAACGAUGCGUAGCCGACCUGAGAGGGUGAUCGGCCACACUGGAACUGAGACACGGUCCAGACUCCUACGGGAGGCAGCAGUAGGGAAUCUUCCGCAAUGGGCGAAAGCCUGACGGAGCAACGCCGCGUGAGUGAUGAAGGUCUUCGGAUCGUAAAACUCUGUUAUUAGGGAAGAACAAAUGUGUAAGUAACCAUGCACGUCUUGACGGUACCUAAUCAGAAAGCCACGGCUAACUUCGUG